UAGUGGCGAACGGGUGAGUAACACGUGGGCAAUCUGCCCUUCACUCUGGGACAAGCCCUGGAAACGGGGUCUAAUACCGGAUAACACCUGCCCGGGCAUCUGGGUGGGUUAAAAGCUCCGGCGGUGAAGGAUGAGCCCGCGGCCUAUCAGCUUGUUGGUGAGGUAGUGGCUCACCAAGGCGACGACGGGUAGCCGGCCUGAGAGGGCGACCGGCCACACUGGGACUGAGACACGGCCCAGACUCCUACGGGAGGCAGCAGUGGGGAAUAUUGCACAAUGGGCGAAAGCCUGAUGCAGCGACGCCGCGUGAGGGAUGACGGCCUUCGGGUUGUAAACCUCUUUCAGCAGGGAAGAAGCGAAAGUGACGGUACCUGCAGAAGAAGCGCCGGCUAACUACGUGCCAGCAGCCCGCGGUAAUACGUAGGGCGCAAGCGUUGUCCGGAAUUAUUGGGCGUAAAGAGCUCGUAGGCGGCUUGUCACGUCGGGUGUGAAAGCCCGGGGCUUAACCCCGGGUCUGCAUUCGAUACGGGCUAGCUAGAGUGUGGUAGGGGAGAUCGGAAUUCCU
This 565-nucleotide ribosomal RNA is filed under the name Streptomyces sp. 319E09. RNAcentral describes it as "bacterial SSU rRNA". It matches the Rfam family "Bacterial small subunit ribosomal RNA", at positions 93 to 671 of the family's 1533-position model. Lineage: Bacteria; Bacillati; Actinomycetota; Actinomycetes; Kitasatosporales; Streptomycetaceae. The record is from RNAcentral.